UGUGUUGUGGCUCAGUGGUAGAGCACUUGCCUAGCAUGUGUGAGGCACUUGGGUUCAAUCCUCAGCACCACAU
RNAcentral lists this transfer RNA (73 nucleotides) under Urocitellus parryii (Arctic ground squirrel). Its description in RNAcentral is "Spermophilus parryii (Arctic ground squirrel) tRNA". It matches the Rfam family "tRNA". Rfam says of the family: Transfer RNA (tRNA) molecules are approximately 80 nucleotides in length. Their secondary structure includes four short double-helical elements and three loops (D, anti-codon, and T loops). Lineage: Eukaryota; Metazoa; Chordata; Mammalia; Rodentia; Sciuridae. RNAcentral also lists the same sequence under 2 other names. The record is from Rfam by way of RNAcentral.